UGUGCAUUAUGUGUCUGUACAUUUACUUUGUCUUGGCAGCUUCUUGUCAACUAGAGUAGACAAUAAAAUAGUGGACAAUGUUGAAUUAUAAGUGCUUGAGUUGAUUUCAGGAUUAAUAGUUUUGUUUUCUGCUCAUUUGUAUUUCUUUAUACUUAGUCCAGGUGUCAUAGCUUGAUUGGUUAGAUAGUGAAUGGCUGAGAUUGCUUUGAUAAAAUGCAUCCAGCUGGUACUGUGCAUAACGGUUAUUUCUCCACACACCAAGAGAGUGUUGUAGUACUGAAAAUCUGAGCAAAUGAGAAUGUUCUCUCUGCUACACGUAUAGUAGAGCAGUUUUGGAUUUCGUCAAGUUUUAUUAAAUUCUCUUCUCUCUUCUCACAAAAUCUCAUACACAGAUCCUAAAACUCUAACAGACAAGACUCAGAAAAAGCUCGAAUAUAGAAAACAAUGAAUCUAAGAAUGAAUAGACAAGAAUACAAUUGGGGGAAUUCUAGUCAAGAAGAAUGGUUAUGAAUAAGAUUGGGACAAUUAGAAGGAAUUUCGAAAGAUAAAAGGAUUUCGACGAGUUUUGGGUUGAGUGUUUUUAUAAAACAACAAAUUUCAAAAUUUUCUUGCUCCCCCAAAGUC
This 624-nucleotide long non-coding RNA is filed under the name Prunus dulcis (almond). Its description in RNAcentral is "sRNA ncRNA". Lineage: Eukaryota; Viridiplantae; Streptophyta; Magnoliopsida; Rosales; Rosaceae. The record is from RNAcentral.